Molecule: ribosomal RNA, 728 nt
Filed under: anaerobic digester metagenome
Description: bacterial SSU rRNA
Rfam family: Bacterial small subunit ribosomal RNA
Source: RNAcentral
CUUCGGGUCGUAAAGCUCUGUAGAGGGGGAAGAAAAUAGACGGUACCCCUUAAUAAAGCCCCGGCUAACUACGUGCCAGCAGCCGCGGUAAUACGUAGGGGGCAAGCGUUGUCCGGAAUUACUGGGCGUAAAGGGCACGCAGGCGGUCAUCUAAGUCAACUGUGAAAAUCCAUGGCUCAACUGUGGACUUGCAGUAGAAACUGGCUGACUUGAGUCCAGGAGAGGGGAGUAGAAUCUUCGGUGUAGCGGUGAAAUGCGUAGAUAUCGAGGGGAAUACCAGUGGCGAAGGCGACUCCCUGGCCUGAGACUGACGCUCAUGUGCGAAAGCGUGGGUAGCGAACAGGAUUAGAUACCCUGGUAGUCCACGCCGUAAACGCUGGGUACUAGGUGUUGUGGGUUUAGAUACCCUCAGUGCCGGAGUAAACGCAUUAAGUACCCCGCCUGGGGACUACGGUCGCAAGACUGAAACUCAAAGGAAUUGACGGGGGCCCGCACAAGCGGUGGAGCAUGUGGUUUAAUUCGAAGCAACGCGAAGAACCUUACCAGGGCUUGACAUAUAGCUGACCGGUAUAGAGAUAUACCCUUUUCUUCGGAGACAGUUAUACAGGUGGUGCAUGGUUGUCGUCAGCUCGUGUCGUGAGAUGUUGGGUUAAGUCCCGUAACGAGCGCAACCCUUGUACUUAGUUGCCAUCACUUCGGGUGGGCACUCUAAGUAGACUGCCGGUGAU